Molecule: long non-coding RNA, 4795 nt
Filed under: Sus scrofa (pig)
Lineage: Eukaryota; Metazoa; Chordata; Mammalia; Artiodactyla; Suidae
Description: lncRNA (ENSSSCG00050015132.1)
Source: RNAcentral
UAGCACCUGUGAAUAUGUUACCUUAUAGGGCAACAUGGUAGAAGGGACUUUGUGAUGUUAUUAAGGUUAAGUCCCCUGAGACGAGGAGGUUAUCUUGCAUUAUCCAGUUGGGCCCAAUCUAACCACAUGAAUCCUUAACUUUCUGGCUGUGGUCAGAGGUAGAUAUGACAAUGAAGGAAGAGCUUUGAAGAUGAAAUAAAAGGGCCAUGAGCCAAGGAAUGUAGAUGGUUCUUAGUGGAAAAAGCAAGGAAAUGAAUCCUCCAAAAGGGAUACUGCCUUGCUAAUGCCUUGAUUUUAGCCCAGUGAAAUCUGUUUUUGACUUCUAACCUAUAGAAAUGUAAGAUAAAACAUGUGUGUUAUUCUCAAACAACUAAGUUUGUGGUGACUAUUUGCAGUAGCAGUGGAAAACUAAUACAAACAGGUAGUAGAACAGCCUAUCCUGAGGAAAUUAAGACAAAAUAUUUUCAGACCUAAAAUUGAUCACUGUAUCCACAUACUAUAACACCACACAGAUAUGUCAUUGAUAACAUAAGAAAUUGGGCUCAAUAAGAUAUAUUCUCUAGACUGCCAGAUCACAAAAGUAUGGAAGAUGUUUUUAGCAAUGAAGUAUAAAAUUGACACAACAUAGAAAGGAAUAGCCAUCUUAAAUUCUUCAGUGAUUAUGAGAUUAUUUUAACUUUUUAGGCAAUGUCAUCAUAUUCUUAACAUGAAAUUUUAAUAAAUAUCCAUCAUGAAUGAGGACCUGGAGCUUAUAAAUUAUACUGAUUACAUUUCCACUGGGUUAGAUAAGCCAUGGAUAGUUGACAGUAGAUAUCAACAGCUUCUAGACCAGUUGCAGUAGAAUAAUCACUGGCAUACUCUGCAGAAGAAAUGUUAUAAAGACUCAACUAAUAGAGACCCUGAAACAGUGCAGGAAAGCAAGAGCAGCAGUUAAGCCAACCUCAUAUAUUACAAUCAGAAGAAACAGAGUCAAGAUAAUGAUAGGUUCCCAGGAGGAUGGCAACAGACCCCCACCCCCCGAAUGUGACUGUUGACCAUGGAGACUGGCUGCGGACAUGGGUACGGCCCAACGCAAGAUCUAUACCCUUUCCAGGAAUGUGGAGCAUCGAUUAACAACCUACAGGGAUUAACUGCCCUCUGUCACGGGACUCAACCACCUAUCCCUCCCUUGACCUUCCCCCCCUUCUUCAUGUUCCUGCCACCUUUCUGCCAUGAACUCCAGCCACAGAUUCCCGCCGAAGAUCCUUUAUAAGCUUAUCACUGCCUCACGGUCAGGGGUGGCAUCAUCUUGAGCUCAGCCCCUUGCCCCUCUGAUGCCUUGAUAAAUCUCUUUUGCUUUACCAACUAGGCCUUGCAUGUUCUUUCCUCUCUUGGCAAACCUAGCAAAUAACUUAUGAGGAGUAGAGCUGUAAAUACGUAUGAGCUGGAUAAUGCAUAUAACUGGUAGCCAAAAUAGAUUACAAAUCAGUACACAUGGCCAAAACUUCAUUUCCUUCCUUCCUUUUAUCCUCCUUCUAGAAACCCCCCUCCUCAUCUUUCCUCCCUUCCUCAUUACCUGUCUUCCUUCCUAUCUCCCAGGGUAUUUGCCACAGGUCUACGUAGACAGUGGUUCCUUGGUAAGUACUUACUGAAUGGAAUAACUUUGUGGGCAAAUUAAAGCUAAGAACAAAACCCACCUACACUGACUACUUUCAGUGGCUAAUGGAAAACAGAAGUAGAUCAAGGUAAGGAGGAAAAUGCCCUAUUGUUAAUAGAGCAAGAGCUGAGUGAUUUUAAGUAACACCCUUUAGACUCUAUAACCUCUAACUCCUCUUGAAUGGUUCAUGUAAAUGGUGCUAUACAGCAAGUUUCUUUUACCCCUUUCAGAGAAAAAUGAGUUUUGAAGAAGUAAAAGAAAUUUGAAAAAAGGUUCAGAACUGAAAGACUUCCAAAAUAAAGGAAGUUUCCCUCAAAUUCUUCUGUUAACAAGAUUUGCAUUUGCAAGCUUUCUGUUUUCAUAUUGCAUAAGUUAAUUGAGGAAACAAGCAAUAACAACUUAUAAAGAUGUGAAUACUUCUUUUCAAGGCUGAACUUUAAAACUAUGUUAAGGAGAGGAAAUAAGUUUUUAAAAGUAUAGAGGGAUUUAUCUAUGGGAAAUGAGAAUUCACCAGGAAGGAGAUUUUACCAACCUUGAUUUUAUGAUGUAUUUGCUAUCAUGAUGUGGAAGAACAUUUAUCAUGAAAUCAACUGAGGAAUUAGGUGUUUCUUUAAAAAAUGUAGAAAUAGUAAUCUCUGAUUAAGAAUUGACUUGGGCAUCUCAAAUUAAAUUCUAGGGCUGCCCCCUCAAAAAAGGAACUCUUAAAAUAGGGAGCAAGGAAUCUAAGAAGAGAAUUCAAUUCUUCAUCUGAACUUCAGAAAGAUAUAAUGGAACUCAUCUAGAAUUUGCUCUUCCUUCCCACUGCUGGAAAUACAUUACUUAUCCAGGGACUGUUAAUUGUUGAAGGGUUAAAAAGGAAAAUGAUUUCAGCCUCAGGCAGUAUUUCUGUAAGUGUGGCUUAUAAAUUAGCUAUAUCACAAACACUUAAGGUACAUUUUAAUAUGUGGAUUAUUAGGCCCAACUCCAGAUCCAAUGAAUCAGAAUCUCUGAGGGAUAGGGUUUAGAAUUUUGCAUACUAACAACCUCACACAUGAUUCUUAAACUCUCCAAAGUUUGGGAAGCAUUAGUGUAAAGAGACAGGCUGGUUUCUUGAAUUAAUUUUGCCCAGAUUCAGGCAAUGACCUUGUGAUAAGAGCAAAAUUAUAUUGUAGCUGUAAGGCUAGUUUGUCAGUUCUUGAUACAACAGUUUCUAUCCCCAGCCCUCUGGGAACAUGUAGUCUCAGUAAAUUAAAUGAACAAACUCUAGUAUUACUCUCAUACACUGUAAUUGGCGUUACUUUAGGAUUUUUUUCUUCCUUCUUAAAAAUUGGCAAUUUCUUUAAUAAAGAUUCUGGCUUUUAUCAGUGGAUUGAUUUUAUAUUCAAUAGUUUCUUCUAUUUGAUGUCUCUGUAUUAAUCAUUUAUAGUCCAUUGGGCUUCCUCUUUAUAGCAGAUAAAUCAUAUUUCAGUUAAAAUUCAAUAAACUGAUAAGAAUUGUGUAUCUAAAUAAUAAAUAUUAUUAGUAAACAAUGUAAGGGUAAUUUAUUUUUAUGUUAAGAGUUGUACUGCCUAUAUAAAAAUAUCUAAUUUAAGAUUUGUUAAAAAAAAAAAAUUUGGAGUUCCUGUGGCUCAGUGGGUUAAGAACCCAACUGGUAUCCGUGAGGAUGCAGGUUCAAUCCCAGGCCUCACUCAGUGGGUUAAGGAUUCAGUGUUGCUGUGGUGUAGGUCGUAGGUGCAGUUCAGAUCCCACAUUGCUGUGGCUAUGGCUGGCAGCUUUAGCUCUAAUUUAACCCCUAGCCUGGGAACUUACAUAUGCCACAGGAGUGGCCCUAAAAAGAAAAAAAAAACAUUGUUAAGCCUCAAAUGGGUAAAUAUAAAUAUAAUACAAAUAUAUGCCAUGCCACAUAGUUAUGUAUAUUUUUACAUAUUUAUAUAUAUUUAGAUAAUCUUUAAGGAGAGAAAAUGAAAUGCUUGUAUGGUGUACCACACAUAUUUCUCAAUGUGUAAUAAUCUGCAGACUCUAUAUCAAAAUCUUGUUUGCUUUAUAUGUUUCAGGAUCAUAGUCUUUGUUACUGCAUUUAAAGAUCAUCACAUUAGAAAAUCUUAUUAAAAUGAAUUUUAUUUUGGAAACACUGAAAAGAGGAAAAGAUCUUUUUGUAGGCUAGUGUCAUCCUCAAACUUUAAUGUAUCUAAGAAUAAGGUAUGGGAUAUGUAAAAGUGGCAUAUUCUUGUGUACCUUCCAAAUCAGAAAAUCAGGAGUCAGAACCAGGAAUCUGUAGUGUUAGAAGCCCCCCCAGAUGAAUUUAUGAAGUUAAGAAGUCCUUUGAGAUAUCUCAAUUACAGAGAGACUACAGUGUAUGUUAAAAAUGAAAGCAUCAGUAAUUAUCUUUUUUAUUUCACAACAUUCCAUGUUUUGUAUUGCGGCAUUGACUACCCACCCCUCUCCUAUCUCACCAUACCCCAAAAAGAGUCUAAAUCAUCUUUUCUUCCUGGACCUUUGCCUUUAGUGAGUAUGCCAUGCCUAGGGACCAGCUUGGGGAUCCAUGGGACUGAAAACAUGACUUCUCUGAAAGUACUGAAAUUGCCUGAUUUAUAAAACUGACUCCUUUGGACUCAUAUUUUGACAGUUAAGAAAUAACACAACAUGAGAAUCAAAGGAAUCUUGAAUAAGUAAACAAUUACAUAACACAUAGAGACAAUGGCAAUAUGAAAAUGGCUUUGAAAUAACUAAAAAUGAUUAAAUGUAAUUAAAUUUAAAAACAAAACAUCCAGGGAAAUGCUAUUUAGAGAUGCAUUUCCCUUAACUGGAGACAGAUGAAAUUGAAAGGUUUGGUUUAGCUAUAACCAAGAUUUUCUACUUGGGAAUUACUGCCAAGGAAUCUCCUUUACUAAUGGUACUUACAAUUGUAGUUGAAUAUUUUUCUGCUUAAAAUCAGGGGUUCGUAUUUGUUACCCAGAUCUAAUUCAGCCCUAAGAGUGUGUAAUAAAUAUUAAGAAGAAAAUCUCGGAGUUCCUGUCGUGGUUCAGCGGUUAGUGAGCCCAACCAGCAUCCAUGAGGACACGGGUUUGAUCCCUGGCCUCAAUGGGUUAACCAUCUGGCAUUGCCUUGAGCUGUGGUGUAGGUCACAGAUAAGGCUCGGAUCCAGCGUUGCUAUGACUCUGGCGUAGGCUGGUGGCUGCA